Molecule: ribosomal RNA, 1372 nt
Filed under: uncultured bacterium
Lineage: Bacteria
Description: bacterial SSU rRNA
Rfam family: Bacterial small subunit ribosomal RNA
Source: RNAcentral
GAUGAACGCUGGCGGCGUGCCUAAUACAUGCAAGUCGAGCGAACGGACGAGAAGCUUGCUUCUCUGAUGUUAGCGGCGGACGGGUGAGUAACACGUGGAUAACCUACCUAUAAGACUGGGAUAACUUCGGGAAACCGGAGCUAAUACCGGAUAAUAUUUUGAACCGCAUGGUUCAAAAGUGAAAGACGGUCUUGCUGUCACUUAUAGAUGGAUCCGCGCUGCAUUAGCUAGUUGGUAAGGUAACGGCUUACCAAGGCAACGGUGCAUAGCCGACCUGAGAGGGUGAUCGGCCACACUGGAACUGAGACACGGUCCAGACUCCUACGGGAGGCGGCAGUAGGGAAUCUUCCGCAAUGGGCGAAAGCCUGAUGGAGCAACGCCGCGUGAGUGAUGAAGGUCUUCGGAUCGUAAAACUCUGUUAUUAGGGAAGAACAUAUGUGUAAGUAACUGUGCACAUCUUGACGGUACCUAAUCAGAAAGCCACGGCUAACUACGUGCCAGCAGCCGCGGUAAUACGUAGGUGGCAAGCGUUAUCCGGAAUUAUUGGGCGUAAAGCGCGCGUAGGCGGUUUUUUAAGUCUGAUGUGAAAGCCCACGGCUCAACCGUGGAGGGUCAUUGGAAACUGGAAAACUUGAGUGCAGAAGAGGAAAGUGGAAUUCCAUGUGUAGCGGUGAAAUGCGCAGAGAUAUGGAGGAACACCAGUGGCGAAGGCGACUUUCUGGUCUGUAACUGACGCUGAUGUGCGAAAGCGUGGGGAUCAAACAGGAUUAGAUACCCUGGUAGUCCACGCCGUAAACGAUGAGUGCUAAGUGUUAGGGGGUUUCCGCCCCUUAGUGCUGCAGCUAACGCAUUAAGCACUCCGCCUGGGGAGUACGACCGCAAGGUUGAAACUCAAAGGAAUUGACGGGGACCCGCACAAGCGGUGGAGCAUGUGGUUUAAUUCGAAGCAACGCGAAGAACCUUACCAAAUCUUGACAUCCUUUGACAACUCUAGAGAUAGAGCUUUCCCCUUCGGGGGACAAAGUGACAGGUGGUGCAUGGUUGUCGUCAGCUCGUGUCGUGAGAUGUUGGGUUAAGUCCCGCAACGAGCGCAACCCUUAAGCUUAGUUGCCAUCAUUAAGUUGGGCACUCUAAGUUGACUGCCGGUGACAAACCGGAGGAAGGUGGGGAUGACGUCAAAUCAUCAUGCCCCUUAUGAUUUGGGCUACACACGUGCUACAAUGGACAAUACAAAGGGCAGCGAAACCGUGAGGUCAAGCAAAUCCCAUAAAGUUGUUCUCAGUUCGGAUUGUAGUCUGCAACUCGACUACAUGAAGCUGGAAUCGCUAGUAAUCGUAGAUCAGCAUGCUACGGUGAAUACGUUCCCGGGUCU